UGGCACGCGGAUGUAGUAUAAUAAGGGAACCGUGUUUUUUGCACAGCGCAAAUGGAACCGGUCGCACAGUGCAACGGAACAUGCAGGCUGCGGGCAGCCUGUGCGGCGGCGUGCCGUGAACCAUGUCAGGCGGGGAACCGAGCAGCAUUAAGCGGAUUUCGCCGGGCGCCGCAGGAUUUCGUCCGCGCCUGCAUGUUCGGGGGCACUGUGCGGCCAUGUGCCG
RNAcentral lists this signal recognition particle RNA (223 nucleotides) under Ethanoligenens harbinense. Its description in RNAcentral is "signal recognition particle sRNA large type". The stretch from base 95 to 181 matches the Rfam family "Bacterial small signal recognition particle RNA". The record is from RNAcentral. RNAcentral also lists the same sequence under 1 other name. Lineage: Bacteria; Bacillati; Bacillota; Clostridia; Eubacteriales; Oscillospiraceae.